GACUGUGAAGCGCUAACGCCAGUUUAGUGUGGAGUCGUCGUUGAAAUACCAGUCUGGUCGUGCUGGAUGUCGUAACCUGGGUCCGUGAUCCGGUAUCAGGGACAGUGUCUGAUCGGGUAGUUUAACUGGGCGGUUGCCUCCUAAAGAGUAACGGAGGCGUCCCAAAGGUUCCCUCAGGCCUGGUUGGCAAUCAGGUGUUGAGUGUAAGUGCACAAGGGAGCUUGACUGUGAGACCGACGGGUCGAGCAGGGACGAAAGUCGGGACUAGUGA
RNAcentral lists this non-coding RNA (271 nucleotides) under Streptomyces afghaniensis 772. Its description in RNAcentral is "Bacterial large subunit ribosomal RNA". It matches the Rfam family "Bacterial large subunit ribosomal RNA", at positions 2153 to 2418 of the family's 2925-position model. The record is from Rfam by way of RNAcentral. Lineage: Bacteria; Bacillati; Actinomycetota; Actinomycetes; Kitasatosporales; Streptomycetaceae.